GGUGGUUUGUCGCGUUGUUCGUGAAAUCUCACGGCUUAACUGUGAGCGUGCGGGCGAUACGGGCAGACUUGAGUACUGCAGGGGAGACUGGAAUUCCUGGUGUAGCGGUGGAAUGCGCAGAUAUCAGGAGGAACACCGGUGGCGAAGGCGGGUCUCUGGGCAGUAACUGACGCUGAGGAGCGAAAGCGUGGGGAGCGAACAGGAUUAGAUACCCUGGUAGUCCACGCCGUAAACGGUGGGUACUAGGUGUGGGUUUCCUUCCUUGGGAUCCGUGCCGUAGCUAACGCAUUAAGUACCCCGCCUGGGGAGUACGGCCGCAAGGCUAAAACUCAAAGAAAUUGACGGGGGCCCGCACAAGCGGCGGAGCAUGUGGAUUAAUUCGAUGCAACGCGAAGAACCUUACCUGGGUUUGACAUGCACAGGACGCCGGCAGAGAUGUCGGUUCCCUUGUGGCCUGUGUGCAGGUGGUGCAUGGCUGUCGUCAGCUCGUGUCGUGAGAUGUUGGGUUAAGUCCCGCAACGAGCGCAACCCUUGUCUCAUGUUGCCAGCGGGUAAUGCCGGGGACUCGUGAGAGACUGCCGGGGUCAACUCGGAGGAAGGUGGGGAUGACGUCAAGUCAUCAUGCCCCUUAUGUCCAGGGCUUCACACAUGCUACAAUGGCCGGUACAAAGGGCUGCAAUGCCGCGAGGUUAAGCGAAUCCUUUUAAAGCCGGUCUCAGUUCGGAUCGGGGUCUGCAACUCGACCCCGUGAAGUCGGAGUCGCUA
Molecule: ribosomal RNA, 765 nt
Filed under: uncultured Mycobacterium sp.
Lineage: Bacteria; Bacillati; Actinomycetota; Actinomycetes; Mycobacteriales; Mycobacteriaceae
Description: bacterial SSU rRNA
Rfam family: Bacterial small subunit ribosomal RNA
Source: RNAcentral